GCCCGGGUGGCGAAGUCGUUAGACGCGGCGGAUUCAAAACCCGCCGAUGAAUAAUCGUGUCGGUUCGAGUCCGACCCCGGGCACCA
Molecule: transfer RNA, 86 nt
Filed under: Aeromonas salmonicida
Lineage: Bacteria; Pseudomonadati; Pseudomonadota; Gammaproteobacteria; Aeromonadales; Aeromonadaceae
Description: tRNA-Leu
Rfam family: tRNA
About the family: Transfer RNA (tRNA) molecules are approximately 80 nucleotides in length. Their secondary structure includes four short double-helical elements and three loops (D, anti-codon, and T loops). Further hydrogen bonds mediate the characteristic L-shaped molecular structure. tRNAs have two regions of fundamental functional importance: the anti-codon, which is responsible for specific mRNA codon recognition, and the 3' end, to which the tRNAs corresponding amino acid is attached (by aminoacyl-tRNA synthetases). tRNAs cope with the degeneracy of the genetic code in two manners: having more than one tRNA (with a specific anti-codon) for a particular amino acid; and 'wobble' base-pairing, i.e. permitting non-standard base-pairing at the 3rd anti-codon position.
Source: RNAcentral